GGUCGCUUAGCUCAGUUGGUUAGAGCGUGGUGCUAAUAGCUUCUAGAAGAUUAUAAUCUAUCAGGAGUUCUCCCUCCAAUGAGUUUAUAAACUCCUCUUGUGUGGAAAAAGAGACGCCAAGGUCGGCGGUUCGACCCCGCCAGUGAUCA
Non-coding RNA from Ciborinia camelliae, 149 nucleotides. Lineage: Eukaryota; Fungi; Ascomycota; Leotiomycetes; Helotiales; Sclerotiniaceae. The record is from the annotation of a GenBank genome assembly.